GCCGGCAUGUCGGAAUGGCAGACGAUGCAGACUCAAAAUCUGUUGGGCGCAAGCCCAUGUGGGUUCAAGUCCCACUGCCGGCACUA
Molecule: transfer RNA, 86 nt
Filed under: Agathobacter rectalis
Lineage: Bacteria; Bacillati; Bacillota; Clostridia; Lachnospirales; Lachnospiraceae
Description: [Eubacterium] rectale tRNA-Leu
Rfam family: tRNA
About the family: Transfer RNA (tRNA) molecules are approximately 80 nucleotides in length.
Source: RNAcentral